UAGCUCAGUGGUAGAGCAAUUGACUGCAGAUCAAUAGGUCACCGGUUUGAACCCGGU
Non-coding RNA from Triticum aestivum (bread wheat), 57 nucleotides. Lineage: Eukaryota; Viridiplantae; Streptophyta; Magnoliopsida; Poales; Poaceae. The record is from Rfam.